GGUUGGAUUACAGCUGGGAUUACAGCUGGGGCAGGUUGGAUUACAGCUGGGAUUACAGCUGGGGCAGGUGGGAUUACAGUUUGGGCAGGUUGGAUUACAGCUGCGAUUACAGCUGGGGCUGUGCACUGUGUUCAAAACUAAUAUCUGUUAUGAACACAGUGCACAACAUUUUAUAGAUUUGACGCUUUGCCAAAGUCUUUAAAAAUUGCAUUGUUUAGAAGCAGUGCAAGGUCAAAUUGAGUUUGUACACACACGCACUUCCCAGAGGAGGCGUUCCCUAACGUAAAUAUGCAAAUACAUGCUAGAACGCGCCAAUAGGAUCUCGCUAGCUCGUGCUUG
Oncorhynchus tshawytscha (Chinook salmon) is the source of this 339-nucleotide long non-coding RNA. Lineage: Eukaryota; Metazoa; Chordata; Actinopteri; Salmoniformes; Salmonidae. The record is from Ensembl.